GAUGAACGCUGGCGGCGUGCCUAAUACAUGCAAGUCGAGCGAACAGACGAGGAGCUUGCUCCUCUGACGUUAGCGGCGGACGGGUGAGUAACACGUGGAUAACCUACCUAUAAGACUGGGAUAACUUCGGGAAACCGGAGCUAAUACCGGAUAAUAUAUUGAACCGCAUGGUUCAAUAGUGAAAGACGGUUUUGCUGUCACUUAUAGAUGGAUCCGCGCCGCAUUAGCUAGUUGGUAAGGUAACGGCUUACCAAGGCAACGAUGCGUAGCCGACCUGAGAGGGUGAUCGGCCACACUGGAACUGAGACACGGUCCAGACUCCUACGGGAGGCAGCAGUAGGGAAUCUUCCGCAAUGGGCGAAAGCCUGACGGAGCAACGCCGCGUGAGUGAUGAAGGUCUUCGGAUCGUAAAACUCUGUUAUUAGGGAAGAACAAAUGUGUAAGUAACUAUGCACGUCUUGACGGUACCCAAUCAGAAAGCCACGGCUAACUACG
RNAcentral lists this ribosomal RNA (495 nucleotides) under uncultured bacterium. RNAcentral describes it as "partial 16S ribosomal RNA". It matches the Rfam family "Bacterial small subunit ribosomal RNA", at positions 28 to 505 of the family's 1533-position model. The record is from RNAcentral.